GAGGAUAAUACUAUAUAUUCAGACCAGAUUACAAAAUAACUUUGCCACAUUCUACCUAUUAUAGCAACCCUUUAAAGAGACUCUAUGUCAGGUGAGUGUAAAUUAAAAACUCAGCCAUGCACUGGUGGCUCACACUUGAAUCAUAGCUACUCAGAAUACUGAGAAUUUGGAAGACUGUGGUUCCAAGUUAGGCACAAAAGCUUGUAAGAUUACAUCUCCAAAAUAACUAUCAAACCAAAAAAAUGAAGCAAAAAUGGGGCUAGAGAUUUGGCUCAAGGGCAGAGAGCCAGUUGAACAAGCAAACUGAACAAACAUCAAGCCCUGAGUUUAAAUCCUAGAACUGGCAAGACAUUUUAAAAAUAUAUUAAAACCCUCAAAAUUCCUAAGACAAGUUUUGGGUAAUUGUAACUUGAGAAUUAGACAUUUACAAAACACUUGAAUAUACUGGUUUAACCAACAGUGAAUUGGUCAGGAUGUUGUUUUAAUUUUUGCUGUGCCAGGGACAGAACUUGGAGCCUCUUUUAUACUAGGCAAGUACCCUACCACUGAGUUACAUCCAGCUCUAGACUGCAUCUUUAUUAAUGUCUCUCAUCUCUCUGGUUAGCCCUGAAUAGUUAAGGCAGUAAAGAGAUAUUUCCUCAUCAUACAUUUGAGAACAGAAUUCUAUUUUAGGAUAAACUAAAAGUAAAAUUUCCUCAUUCCUGCUUAAAAAAAAAAUGUGUGCUUUGUGAACUGACAUAAAGCUUUCCUUCUAACCUUAAUAGGAAGAGUGACUUGUACUGUCUAAGGAAGAACCUUUUGUCAUUAAGCUUGUGAUCACAGGAGAAAUUAUAACAACCUUUAAGUACCAAAACAAGACACUUUGAUUUCCCAGGCAAUGGAAGAGCACAUCUGUGCAAAACUCUUCCAAGUCGAUCAAACGCAUUCUAGAAAUGACAUCCUGCCUAAGAUGCUUCUGCAGACUCAUGAGCAGGAAGGGAGACCUACAGUGCCCUGGGCUCAGCCAGAAGCCAUUAACCAUGUUAAAGGAUCAAGAAAGCCUAGAAAAUAGCUCUGCCUGAGAGCUGACAAUGGGGGGGGGGGGGGAAAGCCUGGAAAUGAUCAUUUUUUUUCUUUUCUCCUUUUUAUUUCUUUCCUCCUUGGUAACAAUUUCUCUCUCUCUUCCAUUUGCCAUUCUCCCUUAUUAUCCUUUGGGCUUUUUGACAUAGAAUCUUGCUACAUAGCCCCAGAUGGCUUUGACUUCAUGAUCCUCUUGCCUCAGCCUUCUAUGUUCUGAGAUUAUAGGUCUGCACUAUAGUGCCCAGUAGAAAAAAAACAAUUUUAUGAUGUAUUUAUGGAACAUUUGCUGAGACCAUCAGAGAUGUAAUGUCAUUUCAUGAUGCUUUCUGAUUUAUUCUUCACUGUAAUGUUAAGGAGACAUAAAAACAAGUUCAAGAUAUCAUAAACUACCUACUGUACUCUAUACAAAAAAACACUUAAAUUUAAUUGCUUAAGAAAUACUUGCUGGAUAAAAUAAACACUAUGACUUCCAUAGAUUUCACUAUUGUCCUAAGCAGCAGCUAUGGUAAAACCAGUGGUUUCAAAUCAAUCAUUUGCAUAAUCUUGUCCUUCUGAAGAAACAAGUGAGAGCAAUAUACUUAUUAUUUUUUUUACCCAAAGUAUCCUUUAAACCUAAUUUAAUUAUACAUAAACAUUAGCUCAUACAAAUGUCUUUGAGAAAGUUGACUAUUUUUUCCCGUCAGUGUAUAUUAAUUUAGCUCAUCCAAGAAUGAGCUCAAGUUCAAGUGGUUAGAGCAUAGCAGCAUACAGAACAGAAAAACAGCCUAACAGAUCAUGAGUAUUUACUAAGAGACUACCAUUACUAUUCUAAGUAUUUUACAUGUAGUAAUUUACUUGCUCUCUAGCUCUAAGAAUCAUAUGUACUAGAAAAAGUGAGCAUGGAAAAGUGACCCCAGCAAUGGGUGUGAAUGAGAGGUGUGGGGUUGUGAUUUCUAAUUCUCAAGGACCCUCCUGUUUGCUCAUGGGAUCUGCAACUACUGAAGAAUAUAGGCCUUAGGGCAGUGGCCUUAAUCUGCUACUGUGAUCAUAGCUAGGGACAUAAGCCUUCAUUUUGCCCAUGGUAAUUGGAAAUCAGAUGAAGUCAAGAGACAAAAAGAAAAUGGAAAGAAAAGAACAAAGAGAG
Molecule: long non-coding RNA, 2182 nt
Organism: Perognathus longimembris pacificus (Pacific pocket mouse)
Lineage: Eukaryota; Metazoa; Chordata; Mammalia; Rodentia; Heteromyidae
Exons: 2
Source: RefSeq, a predicted model, not a curated record